This 1509-nucleotide long non-coding RNA is filed under the name Brassica rapa (field mustard). RNAcentral describes it as "long non-coding RNA (BRAP_LNC005016)". The record is from RNAcentral. Lineage: Eukaryota; Viridiplantae; Streptophyta; Magnoliopsida; Brassicales; Brassicaceae.
AUAAGAGUCUUUUGCGACUUAAGGAAUAAGAUAUUUUUAAAAAUGUCACUUUAAUAGUGGUAAAGAUGAAAAGUGGUACCAUGAAACUGGUAAACAUAAGAUUUUCCCAUAUAAGAAAGUAUUUUAUUACUUAGAAGUAUAUUUUAUGUUAGGGAAAAUCGCAUUUUAAAUACUGAGACUGUCAUUUUCUAGCACUUUAAAUACUGAAGUUUUUUUACUAGCACCUUAAACCUUCAAAGUGAUUUUUUUAUCAUAAAAAACCUCCAAAGACGUUUUCAUAUUCAUAGACGACCGAUACUGUUUAUUUCACAGGUCAAAAUGAUGAUGUGUCGAUUUCUUUAUUUUUAAUAAAAAAUAAAAAUACAGAAAAAUACAUAAUGAAAUUUGAAAAAAAUGUAAAAAUUUAAAACAAAAUUUUAAAAAUCUAAAAAAUUCAAAAAACAUAAAAAAUUAAAAUUUCAAACGUAAAAAUAAAAUAAAAUAUUAAAAAUUCAAUAAAAUCAAAAAUAAGAUCUAAAAUUAAAAUGUCAAAUUUAAAAAAGAAAAUUUUUUAAAUAAAAAUUCUAAAUUCUAAAAUAAGAUCUAAAAUCGAAAUUUCAAACUUAAAAAUUAAAAUUGUAAAGAAAAAAUGUAAAUAUUUAACCAAAAAAAUUAUAUUUAUUUUAAAAUUUCAUCCACUUAAAGUGACAGUCACUUAUGAUGAUAUCAAAACUUGCUACCAUCAAAAAAAUUUUUUUUGAUAAUCCGGAUAUCCAGACACCUUACAUAGCCCGACUAGCGCCUAAGUACACUUCGCAGAAAACAUCUCGGGGGCCGCCAAUUUCACCCCAUGUUAAUUGAUGGUGACCACACGCAGAGCUAAUAAUUCUCUCAAAUAGAUUGUUUUGAGUUUUGUCCUAAAAAUAUUUUCUUAGAAAGAAAAUGACCAAAAUAUUUCAUUAAAGAUGCAAAAGACUUGUAUGCUCUAAAUAUAUAAAUACAAAUAAAUAAAGAAAAAUUUCAAAUUUUUUUUUAAUAUUUUAGAUCUUAUUUUAGAAUUUUAAGAAUUUUAUUUUCGUUUUUAAAUUUGAAAUUUAUAUUUUAGAUCUUAUUUUUGAAUUUUUAGAUUUUUUUAAUAUUUUAUUUUAUUUUUAAUUUGACAGUUUUAAUUUUUAAUUUUUCUGUUUUUUGAUUUUUUUUAAUUUUGUUUUGAAUUUUUAUAAUUUUUUCCAAUUUCAUUCAUUUUUUCUGUAUUUUUUUUCUUUAAGAAAAAAAAAAACUGACACGUCAUCAUUUUAUCCUAUAAAAUGAACAGUACCGGUCACCUAUGAACAGGAAAACGUCGUUGGAAGUUUAUCAUGAUAAAAAUGUCAAUUUGAAGGUUUAAAGUGCUAGUAAAAAAACUUGAGUGUUUAAAGUACCAGAAAAUGAUAUUUUCGGUGUUUAAAAUGCGAUUUUUCCUUUUAUGUUAUUAAAAUUAUUUUUUAAAUCCUUACUAAUAAAAGGGACCUUUUGAGGCUCCAUAGAGCG